UUGGAGUUUCGACGGUCCAUUCAGAAUAGUGUUGGGUCGGAGAGAAUACGUGGCGAUCUCCACCGUCCUGGCUAAGACAAGACUUGGCUCCGUUCAACAACAAAUCCCCUUCCGAUCUUACGAACCCAGCUCCAGGUUUCUCUUUAUCCGCAGCCUAAUCACCAAAACCAAAAUAAACAUAUAACGCUGAUUAGCACCUUAUUCCCAAAAAAAAGAAGAAAAUAACUUAAGAACCUAAUUAAAAAAUACAAACUAGAUUACCUUCUCAGUGAUGUACUUAAAGACGGUCUUCUUCUCAGCAGCUUCAUAUAUGUUACACUGAGAAUAUAUCUAUCAAAACAACAUAAAAAUGUAUGAGAAAACAUAUAUACGAACUGAGAUGAUGGGAUAAUCGUAAAAUAAUUAUGUUCAUCUAGGUUAAAUUCCUGUUACGGACCUGAGAUUCGACGCCGGCCCCAACGGCGUAAAUGGACCAGUGACGAGUGUAGUUGUUGAAGAGAUGGACUUUUGCGAAGCGA
This 518-nucleotide long non-coding RNA is filed under the name Capsella rubella. RNAcentral's name for it is "long non-coding RNA (CRUB_LNC003554)". Lineage: Eukaryota; Viridiplantae; Streptophyta; Magnoliopsida; Brassicales; Brassicaceae. The record is from RNAcentral.